Molecule: unclassified non-coding RNA, 153 nt
Filed under: soil metagenome
Description: partial internal transcribed spacer 1
Source: RNAcentral
GUGAUUAAAUCGAGCGUGUCUUCAUUGACCGCUCACCCUUCUCACCAUCCACAUACACCUGUGCACUGUUUAGCCUGAGCCGGUUUUCCGGUCCAGGUUAUCAUUCAUACAAACUCUAGUCUUAUGAAUGUAAACGGUUUUAAUAACAUAAUA